Molecule: long non-coding RNA, 367 nt
Filed under: Homo sapiens (human)
Lineage: Eukaryota; Metazoa; Chordata; Mammalia; Primates; Hominidae
Description: HSALNT0318473
Source: RNAcentral
CUAAAAAUGAAAAAUGAAGUAAUUUCAGCAUAUUAUUUAGAGGUCUUAUGGUAUUAUCAAAAUAAUUAGCUAAAUGAUUGGGACCCCAGAGAGACACUCACUCCACAUAAGAUGACGAGAAGGUGCCACCUAUGAGCCAGAAAGUGGACGCUUAUCAAACACCAAGUCUACCUUGAUCUUGGACUUCCCAGCCUCCAGGAAGGAGAUUCAGAACAUGGAGAUGAAUUAUUAAAACAAAAAACAAAACAAAAGUAGAAAAGACUGUGCUGUGGUUCGAAUGUGUCCCCUCCAAAAUUCAGGUGUUGCCAAUGUGACAGUAUUAAGAAGUGGGCCUUCAACAGGUGAUUAGGCAAUAACGGCUCCUCCC